This 666-nucleotide ribosomal RNA is filed under the name Triticum aestivum (bread wheat). RNAcentral's name for it is "partial small subunit ribosomal RNA". Lineage: Eukaryota; Viridiplantae; Streptophyta; Magnoliopsida; Poales; Poaceae. The record is from RNAcentral.
AUGGCGCAGGGGCUCGGCGUCGCGGAGGAGCACCGCGGCGUGCUGCGGCGGAUCGUGGCCGCGCCGGACGACGCCGGAGGGGCUGACGAGAUGGUGCGCGUGAACCAUUACCCGCCAUGCCCCUCCCCCGUGGCGUCGGGGCUGCGCGGCGUGACGGGGUUCGGGGAGCACACGGACCCGCAGAUCAUCUCCGUGCUCCGCUCCAACGGCACCGGGGGACUUCAGAUCAUGCUGCUGGACGGCCGCUGGGUCCCUGUGGCCCCCGACACCGAUUCCCUCUUCGUCAUCGUCGGGGACUCCCUCCAGGUGCUGACGAACGGGCGGUUCCGGAGCAUGAAGCACCGGGUGGUGGCGCCGGCGGAGGGGCAGCAGUCGCGGCUGUCGGUGAUCUACUUCGGCGGACCGGCGCCGACGCAGCGGAUCGCGCCGCUGCCGGAGCUGAUGCGGGAAGGGGAGCAGAGCCUGUACAGGGACUUCACCUGGGCCGAGUACAAGACGGCGGCCUACAAGUCCCGGCUCGGUGACCACCGCCUCGGCCCCUUCGAGCUACCUGCCGCAGCCGCCGCCGCCGCCCAAGAGUCCACUACCAAGGCCGGCCACCACUGUAUCAGCAACGCCGCCGUCCAGGCGCCGGCGCCGGCGCCUCACGUGGCACGAGUGCACUAG